Molecule: ribosomal RNA, 312 nt
Filed under: Triticum aestivum (bread wheat)
Lineage: Eukaryota; Viridiplantae; Streptophyta; Magnoliopsida; Poales; Poaceae
Description: partial small subunit ribosomal RNA
Source: RNAcentral
AUGUCCCAACAACAGUAUAUGUUUCGAAGGCCAAAAAUGCUUAUUUUCAUUAUUGUACUGUCUAAAGCAUUCUUCAUGGAGAUGAUCAUGCAGAAAUUAUUUUUCCUUUUGAAAAAAUUGGUUUUAGUUGAAAAUAUAUACAUUCUAACUCGCUCAAGUAGUACUAAAACUUGCUCUCGUACAAUGGUCAAUCAUAAAAGGUCGCUUAAUAAAUCAUUUAAAAUUCCGCCAAACUUCUCGAUGAUUAUCUCAGGGUGCUCAAUAUACUACUCCUUCAAGGCAUGCAACCAAAUAGAUAAACGUGUUACAUAG